This 114-nucleotide transfer RNA is filed under the name Candidatus Bathyarchaeota archaeon. RNAcentral describes it as "tRNA-Ser". It matches the Rfam family "tRNA". From Rfam's summary of the family: Transfer RNA (tRNA) molecules are approximately 80 nucleotides in length. Their secondary structure includes four short double-helical elements and three loops (D, anti-codon, and T loops). Further hydrogen bonds mediate the characteristic L-shaped molecular structure. tRNAs have two regions of fundamental functional importance: the anti-codon, which is responsible for specific mRNA codon recognition, and the 3' end, to which the tRNAs corresponding amino acid is attached (by aminoacyl-tRNA synthetases). tRNAs cope with the degeneracy of the genetic code in two manners: having more than one tRNA (with a specific anti-codon) for a particular amino acid; and 'wobble' base-pairing, i.e. permitting non-standard base-pairing at the 3rd anti-codon position. Lineage: Archaea; Thermoproteati; Candidatus Bathyarchaeota. The record is from RNAcentral.
GCCGGGAUGGCCGAGCGGACUAACCUUAAAGAAAAAUAGGGUUUAAAGGCGCAGGCCUUGAGAGCCUGUGGCCCCUUUAGGGCCUCGUGGGUUCAAAUCCCACUCCCGGCGCCA